Labrus mixtus (cuckoo wrasse) is the source of this 5804-nucleotide RNA transcript. It is a transcript of the gene named zinc finger DHHC-type palmitoyltransferase 5b, with no coding region annotated. Lineage: Eukaryota; Metazoa; Chordata; Actinopteri; Labriformes; Labridae. The transcript has 12 exons. The record is from RefSeq and is a predicted model, not a curated record.
CGACGGACUAGUUCCGGGAUUCCGAUGUCGGCCUAGCGAGCGAGCUAAGUGGUUUGCUAGCGGCUAACUCAAGGAGGACCGUAACGACCCACACCCUAAAGACAAGACAGCUCGUAUGUUCGAUAUAAGGGGCAUCCUCGGUUACCCAGAGAACCAGAGGUUGACAGAGGACCAAUUGAACAAAGGAUUAAAAUGCAUCAGACUUCAUAACAACACUGCUGCACAUGGCUUUAUUAAAGAGAUGCAAAAUGGAAAAUGAGGUCUAUCUGCAGAGAAUUUGGAGGUGGGAGAGGUCUCUUCACCAAGACCUGGCCUUCUGUGGCGACAGCUCGGCAACAUGCACGGGGCCUCUGUUUGGAAUGAGUUGAUUCUUUCCUCAUAAAGACUGAGGGCAGGGGUUUUAAAAGCCCAGAGGACUGUGUUUUGCUAUUUGAGCAACUUGUAAAAGCAAGGCUAGACAUCAUUUUAAAACAUUCUUUUAGCAGAUUUAAAAAAAAAACUCCAGCUGGACUCUAUUGUUUGAUGUUAAGCAGCUUCAUGCAGCUGAUUCAGAAGUGACAUUUGUUGGUUAAGUUCUUUUCAACUGCUGACUUGGUUUGAAACGCUGGAACUGUCCCUCCUGCCACCAUCCUCAGUUUCUUCCACCCACCCAGUGCCUAAAUAAGCCCUCUCGGGACAAUUACAGAAGUCAUCAGCAGCUGCUGUGCUCAAUCCUCUGCCUGUUCUCCUCUAUGUGCUUCUGCUCUGGGCCUACUGGCUUUCCACCCACUACCUCUUUAAUUUUCUUGUCUUUUUUUAAAAUAUUACAUUUCUCUGAGGCUUAAAGUCAGAAGUCAAGCACAGCGACAAGCAUUAGUGUAAACACUUGAGUUUGAGAAGUGGAGACGAACCUAAACUGCUCCAGUUCUAGCUGUGUGUACUUGUGUCUAUGCUUUAAUGUGCAUGCACAGCUGUGUAAAGGUUGAACUGGUGCCAGGAAGCAACUUAAGUUUAGAUUUAUUUAUAUUCUUGCACCAAAAACAAUUACAAUAAGCCAUACAAAAAUAUUUAUGAAUUACCAACACAUAUUUUUGUAUCACAUAGCUUAAGAAUAGUUUUGCUUUUAUAAACCUCGACUAAGAAUAUGCAUAUAAAGUGAGUAUUUAAAACGAAUUGUACACAUGCAAGAAGAGCUGUUCAUUGCUAAAUCAGUAAAUAAUCCUCUGUUUUGAGUGAUUGUACUAGUGCUGUGAUACAUUUAGUGACUGGACCUAGUUAAUUCCUCAUGUUUCUGCUGAGUUUCUGCUUUGCAUAGUGUUGGUUUUCUUCUCCAGUCUGCAGUCAUGGCCCCUCGUAGAAAACAACCUACUCGCCAUUUUAACCUGUAGAGCACCCAUAAUAGUAGGUAGACAGUAGAUAUCUACCUAUCUCUGUGUCGUCUUUCCCUCUCUCUCUGUGUCCGAUGCCGGGCUUCAGUGGUGGGGGGGUUGGGGGAGGAGUGGGUGGCCCUGCUUCUGCUCCUCCCCGCCCAUUUCGACCUAGCCGAUAUGUCCCUGUGUCUGCAGCCACCACGUUCCUUGUUGGAUCAACCACCCUUUUUUUCUGCUUCACGUGCCCAUGGUUGUCAGAGUAUUUCUUCUCUGUCAUUCCCAUAUACAUUGCUGUGAUCUUCCUCUUCACCCUUGCCAAUUUCUGCAUGGCCACCUUCAUGGACCCUGGAGUCUUCCCCAGAGCGGAGGAGGAUGAGGAUAAAGAGGAUGAUUUCCGCGCUCCUCUUUAUAAGACGGUGGAGAUCAAAGGCAUCCAGGUGCGCAUGAAGUGGUGCUCGACCUGCCGCUUCUACCGCCCACCGCGCUGCUCACACUGCUCUGUCUGUGACAACUGUGUAGAGGAUUUUGACCAUCACUGUCCAUGGGUGAACAACUGCAUUGGCCGGAGGAAUUAUCGUUAUUUCUUCCUCUUCCUGAUUUCUCUCACCACCCAUAUCAUAAACAUAUUUGGCUUUGGUCUUGUUUAUGUCCUGCACCACCGCCAGCAGUUGGACACACCACAUGCAGCUGUAACUAUGGCUGUUAUGUGUGUGGCUGGUCUGUUUUUUGUCCCAGUCGCUGGCCUGACUGGGUUCCACAUGGUGUUGGUGGCACGCGGUAGGACCACAAAUGAACAGGUGACAGGGAAGUUUCGGGGAGGCGUGAACCCUUUCACCAAUGGCUGCAUGAGAAACAUUUCCCAUGUGCUAUGCAGCUCCCUGGCCCCCAGAUACAUGGGCCGUUUGCAGAGCCCCCAGUCAGUGGAGGUACAGCCCCCAUUUGUUAGACCGCCUCUCACUGAGGCGCAGCUUGAGGCCAAGGUCCUGGACAACGGCAUCCAGAAUGACAGACACAGUACCAGGUCCAAGAUCAGCCUAGAUCAGAUGGAGAGUCAGUCAGCCGAUGCAGAGCCUCCACCUCCUCCAAAGCCGGAGCUACGGUACCCUGGCCUGCCCCGUGCUGACACAGAGGAGAGCAGCUUGCUGACUGAAGCUCCGCUUACGCCGUCAAUGUUCAAAUACCGACCACCUUACAACAGCCCAGGAAGGAACCACUCUGCCAUUACACACCCGAACAAGAUGAUCCGUGGGGAAAGUCUCGACUCUCCAUCACCCUCCAUUCUCCAGUCCAGCCGUCAGCCAAGCUACCGCUCGGAGCCAAGCAGCCUGGAUGGGGCCACAGUAGUGGGGGGAGGUGUAGGGGUCCGCAGAGGGGGAGGGGAGAGAGGUGAGGGCCCCGGGGGCCCUGGCGGAACUGCUGGGGGGAUGUCAGGGGGCAUGUCUGGUCACUCUCUGACUGGACGCUCCUACACCUCCUACCCAUCCUCUUUAGUUCUGUCCGCUGGUGGCUCCCACUCCUCCAGUCUGCGCUCAGCGCACACAGCACAUUACCCUCUGGCCACGCUCCAAUCAGAGGGCACCACAGACACCAGCUAUAAAAGUCUAGCUAAUCAGACGCCUCGGAACGGCAGCUUGUCCUAUGACAGCCUGCUGACACCUUCCGAGAGCCCAGAGUUUGAGUCGGCCGCUCAUGAACUGUCACCACAGAAGCCUCGAGCUCUGUUUUCCUCAAAGACUAUAAUGAGCCAGCCUGAGGUGAUGUCACCCAGUAGCCCGCUGCAGGGCUACACGUCGCCCUUCCUCUCAGCUCAGAUUGCCCAGCAGAGGGAGGGGCAGCUUCUCCAGGGCUCUGCCACUUUCUCCUCCCCUCACAGGGCCUACCUGCGUGCUGUGAGCCCGCCCCCUCCCUCCUCCUCAGGGCCUCCUGAGAGUCAGCACCUGCUCCAUCAUAACCACGACCCUUCUUCCCGAGCCCCUCGAAACCCUUCCUCCUCAUCCUCUUCCCCUGGGGCUCGCUCACUAGAGCCUCCUGUUUCCCCACCACCCCGCGGGCUCUCCCUUGGCAAAUCCUAUUCUUACACUGGUGAGGCGGGGCCUCAGUACAAGCCUCAGCCCACAAGAGGAGGCACUGUGCUGGGCGGGGGAGGAGUCGGGGGAGGGCAACAGGCUCCACAGUGAGUAGUGAACCGCCGGCAGAUCCAUCAGCCUGCAACUCUUCCUCCUCCUUUCCCUCAUAAUCCUCUUCUUCUUCCUUCCUGGUUUGUGUCAGCCCUCCACCCUGAUCUGUAUCCAUCUCUCGCCCAGUCUUGGCCAACCACACCACAGCCAAACCAGGGGGUGGGGUGAAGAAGGUGACCGGUGUCGGAGGGACCACUUACGAGAUAUCAGUUUGAGUGACAGACAUCCUUCAUGGACCAUCACCAGGAGGAGGAGAAAAGGUCUCUGGACUACUUCCACUACCCUGAGCUGGAUAUUAUUCACGACUGCAGGACCCUGAGGAAUUACUCUUUUUCAACAGCAUUGGAUGACAGGAGCAGGCGCGUGUGGUACUCACUGCAUCUCUUUAAGGCCACUGGCCGGUCUUCUCUGUUAGCUUUUCAGAUCUGAACAAAGAGUAAAAGGGGACUUCGUUUUAUUUUUCAAAGGAUACAUUUUUCUCCAUCUAGCCACUUUGUGAGCCAUAGACUGAUGUGACUGUAUCAUUACUGGGUACAGAUAUGUCAAUAGAACAUGCAUAGCUAUCUAAUGAUUUUCUGUUUUACUUUGGUACUUAGCACACAGAGUGCUGACUGCUGUGCUUGACACACUUAAGGAAAAGAUGGCCUUUAUCCAGUGGAUGUAGAGAUUUAGAGGGUGGAUUCAGGACUGUUGACCAAUAGAAACGUCUUCUUCUUCACUGUCUGAACGGACCACAUGACCUGUUAAUCGAUUUGAAUCAUGGAGAGCAGAGUCCGACCUAUAAACACAGUAUCAUUUUAGUUUUAUAAAUCUUUUUUUAAAUAUUGUUUUAUAUAAAUGUAUGAAAUCUUACAGAUUAUUAUCGGGGGGAAAUUGUCAGGUAUUGAAGAUGACUAUUGAUGAGGUUGACAGUUUUACUGUGUGUAAUUAUUCAUGAAAGCGAUUUCAAAUCAGUUGCCUGUUUAUAUUAAAUGGCUGCAUCAGCCACUUGUGAGCUCUUGUUGGAGUUGACAUCGUCCAAAGAGAAAGAUGAUCCUUCAGUGGACAACUUAAGUGGCAAAUAAUUGAGGUUAACUUUUGAAAGCCACAAAGAAAUUUCUGAAUGGAGAUUUCAGCACAAACAUUUUUGUGGAAUGUACACUUGUAAUGUUUAAACUAGAGACAUUAUGCAAAAUCUAUUUGUAGCUUUAAGAUCAUUAUUUGUCUUGUUGGUGUCUUUUAUUUUUUCCUUUUAUUCUGUAAUGUUUGUCAGUCAGUCAGUCAAUCAGUCAGUCAAGAUGCUAGCAGAACCUCCUACAUUCAAACAGAUAGCCAGCCAAAUAGAGGCAGCGAGGGAAGGGCUUAUUUAUUUCACAAAACCAGAAAAACUUUGCAGUUAUCAACACAACAUCAAACCAGUCUACCAGUUUUUUUUUGUUUGUUUUUUUAUGACAAAAUAGGGACAUAUUCAAAAAAAAUUAAAUGCUGUAAAAAUAAAUUGUAAAUGUGAUAAGCCACUAACUAUCUUGUCAAACAGAGACUGGUUUGCAAGGGAUAUUUUUUUGUCUGCCUUGAGCCAUUUUUUUUUUUCAUUUUUUUUUUUUCUGAGGACAAAUUUAUAGGCAGAUAAAGUUGUAUUGAUGAUCAUGCUCAUUUAUAGAUACUCCCGUAGAGGUACAGAAACAGCCACUUUGAGAAAGUAAUAAUUAGAGGAAGGGAGGGGUGUAUGCAAGUUUGUGUCUUUCAGGAUCGGGCAUUACAGUUGAGGUUUAUUUAUUUUAUUAUUAACUAUUAAAGCAGUGUUUGCAGUAGAAUGUUAAAUCUGGCUAAAUGUGGCACAUCUUUGGGUGGAAGAAUACGCUUGAAGCACACAAGUAUCAUUGUUUCAACCCAAAUGACUGUGUUAUGAGUUUUCAACCUUCCCAGGCUUUGUCUUAGGUGUGCAUGCAGUUUUGUCAAAUGUCUACCCAGUUUAUGUGUGGGUGGCUAAAAGAAAAGAAUCAUCAUGAAUGGCACAAGCAGUCGUUGUAAGGAGAUAAAGAGAACCUGUGUUACUUUUUCCUGCUCCGGCCGAUGAUGGUGGCCACUGAACAAUCUGAUCCUUUGAGUAUAGUAGGUAUACUUCUGUGUGAGAUAAAAUAUCGCUAUUGUGGGCUGUGAUGAAUGGAACGAGUUUCACAAAUAUCUGUAAUGAGUACAUGAAAGACAUUUCCAAAAUGGCCUUAUAAAGAAUUUUUAAAAGAUGUCUUCUCAGAAUAAAAAGGUCAAACUGAUUUAAAAAAAAAAAAAAGUACUGUCA